GCUUUAGUAGUGAUAAUCGGUAACACACGACCCUUCCAAGGUUGGAAUCUGGGUUCGAAUCCCAGCUAUAGCA
RNAcentral lists this transfer RNA (73 nucleotides) under Methanobrevibacter millerae. RNAcentral describes it as "tRNA_Gly_TCC". It matches the Rfam family "tRNA". From Rfam's summary of the family: Transfer RNA (tRNA) molecules are approximately 80 nucleotides in length. The record is from RNAcentral. Lineage: Archaea; Methanobacteriati; Methanobacteriota; Methanobacteria; Methanobacteriales; Methanobacteriaceae.